This 395-nucleotide ribosomal RNA is filed under the name uncultured bacterium. RNAcentral's name for it is "partial 16S ribosomal RNA". It matches the Rfam family "Bacterial small subunit ribosomal RNA", at positions 523 to 918 of the family's 1533-position model. The record is from RNAcentral.
AUACGUAGGGUGCAAGCGUUAAUCGGAAUUACUGGGCGUAAAGCGUGCGCAGGCGGUUUUGGAAGACAGAGGUGAAAUCCCCCGGCUCAACCGGGGGACUGCCUUUGUUACUGCAAGGCUAGAGGACGGCAGAGGGGGAUGGUACUCCGCGGGUAGCGGUGAAAUGCGUAGAUAUGCGGAGGAACACCGAUGGCGAAGGCAAUCCCCUGGGCCUGUACUGACGCUCAUGCACGAAAGCGUGGGGAGCAAACAGGAUUAGAUACCCUGGUAGUCCACGCCCUAAACGAUGUCAACUGGUUGUUGGGUCUUCAUUGACUCAGUAACGAAGCUAACGCGUGAAGUUGAUCGCCUGGGGAGUACGGCCGCAAGGUUGAAACUCAAAUGAAUCGGCGGGG